Molecule: transfer RNA, 74 nt
Filed under: Muribaculaceae bacterium
Lineage: Bacteria; Pseudomonadati; Bacteroidota; Bacteroidia; Bacteroidales; Muribaculaceae
Description: tRNA-Arg
Rfam family: tRNA
About the family: Transfer RNA (tRNA) molecules are approximately 80 nucleotides in length. Their secondary structure includes four short double-helical elements and three loops (D, anti-codon, and T loops).
Source: RNAcentral
GGAGCAGUAGCUCAGCUGGAUAGAGCAACAGCCUUCUAAGCUGUCGGUCCUGGGUUCGAAUCCCAGCCGCUUCA